RNAcentral lists this ribosomal RNA (1338 nucleotides) under uncultured soil bacterium. RNAcentral describes it as "16S ribosomal RNA". It matches the Rfam family "Bacterial small subunit ribosomal RNA", at positions 28 to 1378 of the family's 1533-position model. The record is from RNAcentral.
GACGAACGCUGGCGGCAUGCUUAACACAUGCAAGUGGUGCGACGAACCUUUUAGGGGCAAAGCCGCGAACGGGUGAGUAACACGUGGGCAAUCUGCCCAGUAGACCGGAAUAACUCAAGGAAACCUGAGCUAAUACCGGAUGUGCCGUACUUCCAUAAGGAGGUCCGGUAAAGAGAGCUUCGGCUAUUCGCUAUUGGAGGAGCCUGCGGAGUAUUAGGUAGUUGGUGAGGUAACGGCCCACCAAGGCGACGACGGGUAGCCGACCUGAGAGGGUGACCGGCCACACUGGGACUGAGACACGGCCCAGACUCCUACGGGAGGCAGCAAGCGGGAAUAUUGCACAACGGGGGAAACCCUGGUGCAGCGAUGCCGCGUGAGGGAUGAAGGCCUUCGGGUCGUAAACCUCUUUUGGCAGGGACGAACACAAUGACGGUACCUGCAGAAGAAGCUCCGGCUAACCCCGUGCCAGCAGCCGCGGUAAUACGGAGGGAGCGAGCGUUGUCCGGAUUUACUGGGCGUAAAGAGCGCGUAGGUGGUUUUUUAAGUCGGCUGUGAAAUCGCUGGGCUUAACCCAGUUAGGUCAGUCGAUACUGAUGGACUUGAGUCCGGGAGAGGGAAGCGGAAUAGCUGGUGUAGCGGUGGAAUGCGUAGAUAUCAGCUAGAACACCGGUGGCGAAGGCGGCUUCCUGGACCGGCACCGACACUGAGGCGCGAAAGCUAGGGGAGCGAACAGGCUUAGAUACCCUGGUAGUCCUAGCCGUAAACGAUGGUCACUAGGUGUUGGGGGUAUCGACCCCUCCAGUGCCGUAGCUAACGCAUUAAGUGACCCGCCUGGGGAGUACGGCCGCAAGGCUGAAACUCAAAGGAAUUGACGGGGCCCCGCACAAGCGGUGGAGCAUGUGGCUCAAUUCGAGGCUACACGAAGAACCUUACCACGGUUUGACAUCCGCAGAACCCUGCUGAAAGGCGGGGGUGCCCUUCGGGGAGCUGCGUGACAGGUGGUGCAUGGCUGUCGUCAGCUCGUGUCGUGAGAUGUUGGGUUAAGUUCCGCAACGAGCGCAACCCUCGUGCUAUGUUGCCAUCAGUUCGGCUGGGCACUCAUAGCAUACUGCCAGAGUAAUCUGGAGGAAGGUGGGGAUGACGUCAAGUCCGCAUGCCCCUUACACCGUGGGCUGCACACAUGCUACAAUGGGCGGUACAAAGGGAAGCAAGACCGCGAGGUGGAGCCGAUCCCAUAAAACCGUCCCCAGUUCGGAUUGGAGUCUGUAACUCGACUCCAUGAAGUCGGAAUCGCUAGUAACCGCAGGUCAGCUAUACUGCGGUGAAUACGUUCCCGGG